Molecule: ribosomal RNA, 512 nt
Filed under: uncultured bacterium
Lineage: Bacteria
Description: partial 16S ribosomal RNA
Rfam family: Bacterial small subunit ribosomal RNA
Source: RNAcentral
GACGAACGCUGGCGGCGUGCCUAAUACAUGCAAGUCGAGCGGAACUGGGGGAGCUUGCUCCUUCCAGUUUAGCGGCGGACGGGUGAGUAACACGUGGGCAACCUGCCCUGCAGAUCGGGAUAACUCCGGGAAACCGGUGCUAAUACCGAAUAGUUUGGCGCCUCUCCUGAGGCGCCACGGAAAGACGGUUUCGGCUGUCACUGCAGGACGGGCCCGCGGCGCAUUAGCUAGUUGGUGGGGUAACGGCCCACCAAGGCGACGAUGCGUAGCCGACCUGAGAGGGUGACCGGCCACACUGGGACUGAGACACGGCCCAGACUCCUACGGGAGGCAGCAGUAGGGAAUCUUCCGCAAUGGACGCAAGUCUAACGGAGCAACGCCGCGUGAGUGACGAAGGUUUUCGGAUCGUAAAACUCUGUUGUGAGGGAAGAACACGUACCAACUAACUAUUGGUACCUUGACGGUACCUCACCAGAAAGCCACGGCUAACUACGUGCCAGCCGCCGCGGUAA